Molecule: transfer RNA, 67 nt
Filed under: Lichtheimia hongkongensis
Lineage: Eukaryota; Fungi; Mucoromycota; Mucoromycetes; Mucorales; Lichtheimiaceae
Description: tRNA-Asn
Source: RNAcentral
UUAUUAUUAUUAGAGUAGUAAAUAUAAUUAAUAUAGAACUUAUAAUAUAAUAUCCUUUAAUAAUUAA